ACUGAACAUUGAGCCUUGAUGUGUAGGAUAGGUGGGAGGCUUUGAAGUGUGGACGCCAGUCUGCAUGGAGUCGACCUUGAAAUACCACCCUUUAAUGUUUGAUGUUCUAACGUUGACCCGUGAUCCGGGUUGCGGACAGUGUCUGGUGGGUAGUUUGACUGGGGCGGUCUCCUCCUAAAGAGUAACGGAGGAGCACGAAGGUUGGCUAAUCCUGGUCGGACAUCAGGAGGUUAGUGCAAUGGCAUAAGCCAGCUUGACUGCGAGCGUGACGGCGCGAGCAGGUGCGAAAGCAGGUCAUAGUGAUCCGGUGGUUCUGAAUGGAAGGGCCAUCGCUCAACGGAUAAAAGGUACUCCGGGGAUAACAGGCUGAUACCGCCCAAGAGUUCAUAUCGACGGCGGUGUUUGGCACCUCGAUGUCGGCUCAUCACAUCCUGGGGCUGAAGUAGGUCCCAAGGGUAUGGCUGUUCGCCAUUUAAAGUGGUACGCGAGCUGGGUUUAGAACGUCGUGAGACAGUUCGGUCCCUAUCUGCCGUGGGCGCUGGAGAACUGAGGGGGGCUGCUCCUAGUACGAGAGGACCGGAGUGGACGCAUCACUGGUGUUCGGGUUGUCAUGCCAAUGGCACUGCCCGGUAGCUAAAUGCGGAAGAGAUAAGUGCUGAAAGCAUCUAAGCACGAAACUUGCCCCGAGAUGAGUUCUCCCUGACUCCUUGAGAGUCCUGAAGGAACGUUGAAGACGACGACGUUGAUAGGCCGGGUGUGUAAGCGCAGCGAUGCGUUGAGCUAACCGGUACUAAUGAACCGUGAGG
Molecule: ribosomal RNA, 806 nt
Filed under: Escherichia coli
Lineage: Bacteria; Pseudomonadati; Pseudomonadota; Gammaproteobacteria; Enterobacterales; Enterobacteriaceae
Description: partial 23S ribosomal RNA
Rfam family: Bacterial large subunit ribosomal RNA
Source: RNAcentral